Molecule: ribosomal RNA, 2419 nt
Filed under: Enterobacter hormaechei
Lineage: Bacteria; Pseudomonadati; Pseudomonadota; Gammaproteobacteria; Enterobacterales; Enterobacteriaceae
Description: partial 23S ribosomal RNA
Rfam family: Bacterial large subunit ribosomal RNA
Source: RNAcentral
UGUGAACUCGAAGAGUAGGGCGGGACACGUGGUAUCCUGUCUGAAUAUGGGGGGACCAUCCUCCAAGGCUAAAUACUCCUGACUGACCGAUAGUGAACCAGUACCGUGAGGGAAAGGCGAAAAGAACCCCGGCGAGGGGAGUGAAAAAGAACCUGAAACCGUGUACGUACAAGCAGUGGGAGCACCUUCGUGGUGUGACUGCGUACCUUUUGUAUAAUGGGUCAGCGACUUAUAUUCUGUAGCAAGGUUAACCGUAUAGGGGAGCCGAAGGGAAACCGAGUCUUAACUGGGCGUUAAGUUGCAGGGUAUAGACCCGAAACCCGGUGAUCUAGCCAUGGGCAGGUUGAAGGUUGGGUAACACUAACUGGAGGACCGAACCGACUAAUGUUGAAAAAUUAGCGGAUGACCUGUGGCUGGGGGUGAAAGGCCAAUCAAACCGGGAGAUAGCUGGUUCUCCCCGAAAGCUAUUUAGGUAGCGCCUCGUGAACUCAUCUUCGGGGGUAGAGCACUGUUUCGGCUAGGGGGCCAUCCCGGCUUACCAACCCGAUGCAAACUACGAAUACCGAAGAAUGUUAUCACGGGAGACACACGGCGGGUGCUAACGUCCGUCGUGAAGAGGGAAACAACCCAGACCGCCAGCUAAGGUCCCAAAGUCAUGGUUAAGUGGGAAACGAUGUGGGAAGGCACAGACAGCCAGGAUGUUGGCUUAGAAGCAGCCAUCAUUUAAAGAAAGCGUAAUAGCUCACUGGUCGAGUCGGCCUGCGCGGAAGAUGUAACGGGGCUAAACCAUGCACCGAAGCUGCGGCAGCGACACUAUGUGUUGUUGGGUAGGGGAGCGUUCUGUAAGCCGUUGAAGGUGUGCUGUGAGGCAUGCUGGAGGUAUCAGAAGUGCGAAUGCUGACAUAAGUAACGAUAAAGCGGGUGAAAAGCCCGCUCGCCGGAAGACCAAGGGUUCCUGUCCAACGUUAAUCGGGGCAGGGUGAGUCGACCCCUAAGGCGAGGCCGAAAGGCGUAGUCGAUGGGAAACAGGUUAAUAUUCCUGUACUUGGUGUUACUGCGAAGGGGGGACGGAGAAGGCUAUGUCAGCCGGGCGACGGUUGUCCCGGUUUAAGCAUGUAGGCGGAGGUUCCAGGUAAAUCCGGUACCUUGUUNNNNNNNNNNNNNNNNNNNNNNNNNNNNNNNNNNNNNNNNNNNNNNNNNNNNNNNNNNNNNNNNNNNNNNNNNNNNNNNNNNNNNNNNNNNNNNNGGCGGAGCUGAAAUCAGUCGAAGAUACCAGCUGGCUGCAACUGUUUAUUAAAAACACAGCACUGUGCAAACACGAAAGUGGACGUAUACGGUGUGACGCCUGCCCGGUGCCGGAAGGUUAAUUGAUGGGGUUAGCGGCAACGCGAAGCUCUUGAUCGAAGCCCCGGUAAACGGCGGCCGUAACUAUAACGGUCCUAAGGUAGCGAAAUUCCUUGUCGGGUAAGUUCCGACCUGCACGAAUGGCGUAAUGAUGGCCAGGCUGUCUCCACCCGAGACUCAGUGAAAUUGAACUCGCUGUGAAGAUGCAGUGUACCCGCGGCAAGACGGAAAGACCCCGUGAACCUUUACUAUAGCUUGACACUGAACACUGGUCCUUGAUGUGUAGGAUAGGUGGGAGGCUUUGAAGCGUGGACGCCAGUCUGCGUGGAGCCAUCCUUGAAAUACCACCCUUUAAUGGCUGGUGUUCUAACGUAGACCCGUUAUCCGGGUUGCGGACAGUGUCUGGUGGGUAGUUUGACUGGGGCGGUCUCCUCCCAAAGAGUAACGGAGGAGCACGAAGGUUGGCUAAUCCUGGUCGGACAUCAGGAGGUUAGUGCAAUGGCAUAAGCCAGCUUGACUGCGAGCGUGACGGCGCGAGCAGGUGCGAAAGCAGGUCAUAGUGAUCCGGUGGUUCUGAAUGGAAGGGCCAUCGCUCAACGGAUAAAAGGUACUCCGGGGAUAACAGGCUGAUACCGCCCAAGAGUUCAUAUCGACGGCGGUGUUUGGCACCUCGAUGUCGGCUCAUCACAUCCUGGGGCUGAAGUAGGUCCCAAGGGUAUGGCUGUUCGCCAUUUAAAGUGGUACGCGAGCUGGGUUUAGAACGUCGUGAGACAGUUCGGUCCCUAUCUGCCGUGGGCGCUGGAGAAUUGAGGGGGGCUGCUCCUAGUACGAGAGGACCGGAGUGGACGCAUCACUGGUGUUCGGGUUGUCAUGCCAAUGGCACUGCCCGGUAGCUAAAUGCGGAAGAGAUAAGUGCUGAAAGCAUCUAAGCACGAAACUUGCCCCGAGAUGAGUUCUCCCUGAGACCUUGAGUCUCCUGAAGGAACGUUGAAGACGACGACGUUGAUAGGUCGGGUGUGUAAGCGCAGCGAUGCGUUGAGCUAACCGAUACUAAUGAACCGUGAGGCUUAACCUU